AUGAUAUAGAGAUUAUGUUUAUUACUAUUAUCAUUACUAGUAUUUAUUUUACUAUUGAUAUUAGGUUUAUUCGAUGGAAGAAUCCCCAUCCAUGGAUCAAAGUAGACCCUGAAAGUACACAAAAGCUGAUCAAGGGUGGACAGAAGUACCAGGUAAAUGCGGCCAUUGAACAACUUAAACGCGAAAUUGGCAGCAGCAAGUGAACAUGGAUGCAUUACUUGCCACUAAAUAGGCAUAAUAACGGGUAUAACAACAUCAACAAAUACCUACACAUGUUAAGUGUGUAUCUUCAUGUUGCUUAAAUACGUCACAGGUCCAAAGGUGUAAUUCUCAAUGAACAAUUUUAACAUUUACGCUGUAACCAAAUCGACAUAAGUUAUUAGAAUCAGUAUUAGUGUAGGUUUACUUGUAGAUAAUAGAGAGUUCUCGAAAUUACAACGUAAGACGUUAUGCGUCACAACUUACCGACUUGACUCGUCUUACUCCGAAGAACGCAUGCGUAAUUAUGCACAAACUUUUAUUAUGUUGUGUAGGCUGGCAUGGAACUAACCGAUUCUCGUGCUAUGAAAACGUAUAGUAGGCCCUGUGUGGAAAGGUAACUAAUUUACAUGAUAUAUACGUUGUGAUUUCGAGGAACUCCGUAUGGAGAAAGUGGGGAAAAAUAUUUAAAUAUUAGGCAAUUAUAUAGAACACAAUAUAUGAAUAAAAUAAUUAAAUUAAUUUUUGUAAAUAAUAAACAUAUAGUAUUUUGGCAGAUGAAAUAUAUUUAAAUCAAAACUAAAUAUAUGUUAAUUAUAUUGAUAUAUAAUUUUAUAGCGCUCAUAUUCUUUCCUUGCAAGGAAGAAAUGAAUCUCAAGACAAUUUUCAAAUUUGUGUUAAUUGGAUACAAUCAUGGACAAGUGCAAUUUCCCAGAUGCCAUGGGAAUUAUUCCACUGAAAUUCCACUUGGACUUAUAGCGUAUACGUUGCCAUACAUGUACCUCAGCACACACUAAUUUUCAUUCCAAAGCUUAGCUAUUGUAAUACCAGGUACAGACAGCAGGCAUGCUUAAAAAUGUUAUUCGCUGCUUCACAUUAAAAUAUUAUAUGGAAAAGCACGUGCUUCAA
This is a long non-coding RNA of Anneissia japonica, 1107 nucleotides long. RefSeq lists it as uncharacterized. Lineage: Eukaryota; Metazoa; Echinodermata; Crinoidea; Comatulida; Comatulidae. The record is from RefSeq and is a predicted model, not a curated record. The transcript is spliced from 2 exons.